UUCGUGCAGGAACAGAGAGUUUGAUCAAACAAGCCAGGGAGAUCGGGGAGGCGGAGCUCCAGAAGUUCUACAGUAGGAUCACCAAGCAGCUGACGGGUAAAGAAUACGGCCAUGAUGUCAUCGACUCACUCCAGAGACUACACCUCAUACUGGCCUCUACCAAGUGCACUAGGAGGCUGCCAGUGGAGCUGCAUCGGCAUCUACUGUCGCUUUGUGUGUCUUCCUCUGUGGAGCAGCUGAUUGUGUUGACCUCAGCAGUACUCAGAGAAACACUGCCCCCCUCUGGCCCAGGGCAGAACUACACCCUACAUGACUACAGCCCUUUAACCAGUCAAACUGCUGCUUUAGUGCUGUCACAGGCGGGGUCUAAAGAAGACCUGUCAGCGCUCUCCUCUCUC
Long non-coding RNA from Coregonus clupeaformis (lake whitefish), 398 nucleotides. RefSeq lists it as uncharacterized. The record is from RefSeq and is a predicted model, not a curated record. Lineage: Eukaryota; Metazoa; Chordata; Actinopteri; Salmoniformes; Salmonidae. The transcript is spliced from 4 exons.